Long non-coding RNA from Cryptomeria japonica (Japanese cedar), 471 nucleotides. RefSeq lists it as uncharacterized. The record is from RefSeq and is a predicted model, not a curated record. The transcript has 3 exons. Lineage: Eukaryota; Viridiplantae; Streptophyta; Pinopsida; Cupressales; Cupressaceae.
UCCCCAAAUUUAUGCAUAGCUCGUCAAGGCAGACGAAGAGACCGAAAGUUAGGGAACUGAAACGUUUCAUUGACAACGCCAUUGAAUGGUCAGACUUAACAUCCGAACAGCAGAGACUUGGCAAGCUACUACAAUGGAGAUUCCAGCUGGACAAAUCUCUUAUAUAAUAAAUUACAAUGACAAAGCUUUGAAAUUUUGACAGCAGGAAUUGAGAUUAAAGUAGCUUAUUACACUGAGGGACAUGGCAUUGAUCACACUCCAUGAUCAAUCAUCAGAAUGAGAGAGCUCUCAUCCAAACACAAUAACCAUGACCAUUAACCAGAAGAAAGGUUCAAUAUCAGCCUCUGUUACAUGCACACGAGAUUCUUCAACCUGACUUUCAAGUGCCUUACCAGAUUCUUCAACCUGCCUUUCAAGAACCUCACCAGAUUCUUCAGCCUGGCUUUCAAGAGCCUUACCAGAUUCUUCAAC